Molecule: small nucleolar RNA, 104 nt
Organism: Lemur catta (Ring-tailed lemur)
Lineage: Eukaryota; Metazoa; Chordata; Mammalia; Primates; Lemuridae
Product: small nucleolar RNA U13
Exons: 1
Source: RefSeq, a predicted model, not a curated record
AUCCUUUUGUGGUUCCUAAGUGUGAUGCUCAGGUUUUCAUGCUAUUGUGUGACACGGGCCUCCCUCAAACCGUGUUACAGUGUUGGCACAUUACCUAUCUGACA